UAGAUGUCAGCUCUUCCUAUCAUUGUGAAGCAGAAUUCACCAAGUGCUGGAUCGCUCGCCCACUAAUAGGGAACAUGAGCUGGGUUUAGACCGUCGUGAGACAGGUU
RNAcentral lists this non-coding RNA (107 nucleotides) under Buceros rhinoceros silvestris. RNAcentral's name for it is "Eukaryotic large subunit ribosomal RNA". It matches the Rfam family "Eukaryotic large subunit ribosomal RNA", at positions 2878 to 2984 of the family's 3401-position model. The record is from Rfam by way of RNAcentral. Lineage: Eukaryota; Metazoa; Chordata; Aves; Bucerotiformes; Bucerotidae.